GCAUCAGUCCUGGAGCUGUACUCUCGUGGGUCUACAACGUUUCAAUCGAUACGAUAUCCUGUAGCACCAUGAGAUUCAGCUCUAGUGCUUGGUAU
MicroRNA precursor from Anopheles darlingi, 95 nucleotides. It matches the Rfam family "mir-998 microRNA precursor family". NCBI's taxonomy places the organism in Eukaryota, Metazoa, Arthropoda, Insecta, Diptera, Culicidae. The record is from Rfam.